Molecule: ribosomal RNA, 722 nt
Filed under: uncultured Fusobacterium sp.
Lineage: Bacteria; Fusobacteriati; Fusobacteriota; Fusobacteriia; Fusobacteriales; Fusobacteriaceae
Description: bacterial SSU rRNA
Rfam family: Bacterial small subunit ribosomal RNA
Source: RNAcentral
GAUGAACGCUGACAGAAUGCUUAACACAUGCAAGUCAACUUGAACUUCGGUUUGGGUGGCGGACGGGUGAGUAACGCGUAAAGAACUUGCCUCACAGCUAGGGACAACAUUUGGAAACGAAUGCUAAUACCUGAUAUUAUGAUUUUAGGGCAUCCUAGAAUUAUGAAAGCUAUAUGCGCUGUGAGAGAGCUUUGCGUCCCAUUAGCUAGUUGGAGAGGUAACGGCUCACCAAGGCGAUGAUGGGUAGCCGGCCUGAGAGGGUGAUCGGCCACAAGGGGACUGAGACACGGCCCUUACUCCUACGGGAGGCAGCGGUGGGGAAUAUUGGACAAUGGACCAAGAGUCUGAUCCAGCAAUUCUGUGUGCACGAUGAAGUUUUUCGGAAUGUAAAGUGCUUUCAGUUGGGAAGAAAAAAAUGACGGUACCAACAGAAGAAGUGACGGCUAAAUACGUGCCAGCAGCCGCGGUAAUACGUAUGUCACAAGCGUUAUCCGGAUUUAUUGGGCGUAAAGCGCGUCUAGGUGGUUAUAUAAGUCUGAUGUGAAAAUGCAGGGCUCAACUCUGUAUUGCGUUGGAAACUGUGUAACUAGAGUACUGGAGAGGUAAGCGGAACUACAAGUGUAGAGGUGAAAUUCGUAGAUAUUUGUAGGAAUGCCGAUGGGGAAGCCAGCUUACUGGACAGAUACUGACGCUGAAGCGCGAAAGCGUGGGUAGCAAACAGG